Molecule: ribosomal RNA, 1011 nt
Filed under: Jaaginema litorale LEGE 07176
Lineage: Bacteria; Bacillati; Cyanobacteriota; Cyanophyceae; Leptolyngbyales; Leptolyngbyaceae
Also listed under: 1 other name
Description: bacterial SSU rRNA
Rfam family: Bacterial small subunit ribosomal RNA
Source: RNAcentral
GCGUGGGGGAGGAAGGCCUUCUGGGUCGUAAACCCCUUUUCUCAGGGAAGAAGCUCUGACGGUACCUGAGGAAUCAGCCUCGGCUAACUCCGUGCCAGCAGCCGCGGUAAUACGGAGGAGGCAAGCGUUAUCCGGAAUUAUUGGGCGUAAAGCGUCCGCAGGUGGCUUUUCAAGUCUGCUGUCAAAGCCCGAAGCUCAACUUCGGAGAGGCAGUGGAAACUGGGAAGCUAGAGAACGGUAGGGGUAGAGGGAAUUCCCAGUGUAGCGGUGAAAUGCGUAGAGAUUGGGAAGAACACCGGUGGCGAAAGCGCUCUACUGGGCCGUAUCUGACACUCAGGGACGAAAGCUAGGGUAGCGAAUGGGAUUAGAUACCCCAGUAGUCCUAGCUGUAAACGAUGGAAACUAGGCGUGGCUUGUAUCGACCCGAGCCGUGCCGAAGCUAACGCGUUAAGUUUCCCGCCUGGGGAGUACGCACGCAAGUGUGAAACUCAAAGGAAUUGACGGGGGCCCGCACAAGCGGUGGAGUAUGUGGUUUAAUUCGAUGCAACGCGAAGAACCUUACCAGGACUUGACAUGUCGCGAAUUCCGGUGAAAGCUGGAAGUGCCUUCGGGAACGCGAACACAGGUGGUGCAUGGCUGUCGUCAGCUCGUGUCGUGAGAUGUUGGGUUAAGUCCCGCAACGAGCGCAACCCUCGUCCUUAGUUGCCAGCAUUAAGUUGGGCACUCUAGGGAGACUGCCGGUGACAAACCGGAGGAAGGUGGGGAUGACGUCAAGUCAGCAUGCCCCUUACGUCCUGGGCGACACACGUACUACAAUGGUCGAGACAAAGGGCAGCAACUCCGCAAGGACAAGCGAAUCUCAUCAAACUCGGCCUCAGUUCAGAUUGCCGGCUGCAACUCGCCGGCAUGAAGGAGGAAUCGCUAGUAAUCGCAGGUCAGCAUACUGCGGUGAAUCCGUUCCCGGGCCUUGUACACACCGCCCGUCACACCAUGGAAGCUGGCCACGCCCGA